Molecule: unclassified non-coding RNA, 231 nt
Filed under: Glomus sp.
Lineage: Eukaryota; Fungi; Glomeromycota; Glomeromycetes; Glomerales; Glomeraceae
Description: partial contains 5.8S ribosomal RNA and internal transcribed spacer 2
Rfam family: 5.8S ribosomal RNA (bases 1-65)
Source: RNAcentral
GUGAAUCAUCGAAUUUUUGAACGCAAAUUGCACUCUCUUCGGAGAGGAUGCCUGUUUGAGUUUCAGCCUAAAAAAAAUCAACAUUGUUUCUGUUUCGUGGUGAUCUUCGUCGGAAAUUGGGUCAUCUUAAACCUUUGGUUUUUAAGCGGCUUAAAAUUUUCUUUACGAUUCCACGAACGUAUCUAAGUUUUUACUUCUUACACUGUGAAGUUAUCGAUCUGUAUUGGUCGU